AGUACGUGAAACCGUUUAGGGGUAAACCUGAGAAACCCGAAAGGUCGAAGGGAGAAAUUCAUUCGCGUUUCGACGCAGGCGUGGGACGGAGUCCGGAGCGACGGAACACCGUUUCUCGGAACGGUAGUUUCGCGCCCUCCGUCUUUCGAACCGGCGGCGAACGCGUGCACUUUUCUCCUGGUAGGACGUCGCGAUCCGUCGGGUGUCGGUCUACGACUUGCGGUGGAGCCCGCCCGUCUCGUCUUUCGUACGUGCGGACGGACCCGCUUGUUCCGGCCGACUCGCUCGACGGUAUACGUAAGGUCGGAGGCCGCUCGUUUUUUAGGAGCGUUCGACUCGUCGCAAGCGCGCCACGUGCGUCGGCACGCGGACCCGGUGCCGCGUCCGACCUCUGGUGACUGUUGGCGACGAAGUUCUCGGACAGACCUCUUUUUUUCAAUCGAAGACCGAUCGGCGACGCUAUAGCUUUGGGUACUUUCAGGACCCGUCUUA
This 492-nucleotide ribosomal RNA is filed under the name Xyleborus affinis. RNAcentral describes it as "partial large subunit ribosomal RNA". Lineage: Eukaryota; Metazoa; Arthropoda; Insecta; Coleoptera; Curculionidae. The record is from RNAcentral.